UGGGGAAUAUUGCACAAUGGGCGCAAGCCUGAUGCAGCGACGCCGCGUGGGGGAUGACGGCCUUCGGGUUGUAAACCUCUUUCGCCUACGACGAAGCGAGAGUGACGGUAGUAGGAGAAGAAGCACCGGCCAACUACGUGCCAGCAGCCGCGGUAAUACGUAGGGUGCGAGCGUUGUCCGGAAUUACUGGGCGUAAAGAGCUCGUAGGCGGUUUGUCGCGUCGUCCGUGAAAACUUGGGGCUUAACCCCAAGCUUGCGGGCGAUACGGGCAGACUGGAGUACUGCAGGGGACACUGGAAUUCCUGGUGUAGCGGUGAAAUGCGCAGAUAUCAGGAGGAACACCGGUGGCGAAGGCGGGUCUCUGGGCAGUAACUGACGCUGAGGAGCGAAAGCGUGGGUAGCG
This 403-nucleotide ribosomal RNA is filed under the name uncultured bacterium. RNAcentral's name for it is "bacterial SSU rRNA". It matches the Rfam family "Bacterial small subunit ribosomal RNA", at positions 355 to 770 of the family's 1533-position model. The record is from RNAcentral.